CUGGCUCAGAACGAACGCUGGCGGCAGGCCUAAGUCAUGCAAGUUGAACGGCUGUAGCAAUACAGCAGUAGCGGACGGGUGAGUAAUGUAUGGGAACGUAUCUUCUAGUGGGGAAUAUUCUUUGGAAACGAAGAGCAAUACCGCAUGAGUCCUACGGGAGAAAGUCGCAAGACGCUAGAUGAGCGGCCCAUAUUGGAUUAGCUAGUUGGUUAGGUAAUGGCUGACCAAGGCAACGAUCCAUAGCUGGUCUAAGAGGACGAUCAGCCACAUUGGGACUGAGACACGGCCCAGACUCCUACGGGAGGCAGCAGUCAGGAAUAUUGGACAAUGGGGGCAACCCUGAUCCAAGCCAUGCCGCGUGAGUGUUAAGGUCUUCGGAUUGUAAAGCUCUUUUGUGUGGGAAAAUGAUGAUGGUACCACAAGAAUAAGCACCGGCUAACUUCGUGCCAGCCGCCGC
This 457-nucleotide ribosomal RNA is filed under the name uncultured bacterium. RNAcentral describes it as "bacterial SSU rRNA". It matches the Rfam family "Bacterial small subunit ribosomal RNA", at positions 19 to 518 of the family's 1533-position model. The record is from RNAcentral.